AGCUUGGUGUCUAGGGUUCCGACGCAGAAAAUGCGAAGAGUGGUGGUGCUUGUGGUGUGGUGUGCCAUCGAAAUUUAGUCGAUCGAGAUUCGAGAGUGAAUGGAAAUGGAUGAAACCGUUACUACUGCUACCUUACUUAGAGUCGGUAGGUAGGUAGGUAGGUAGGUAGGUAGGUAGGUAGGUGUGUAGAUAAAGUAAUAAUGGUGAGUAAUUCAGUUCGUUCUGAUGUGGUGUUUGGUUUUGGUGGGAGUAUCAAACGCCACUGUGGCACUCGCCGGAGUUUCAAACUGUCAAGUAAAAGGAAGACAAUAAUUAGCGGUGGCAAAAUAAGUUACUACUCCUUCUCCUGUGUUGAAAUUGAAAUUGAUAUAUGUUAUUUUAUUUUAUUUUUUUAAAAAAA
This 400-nucleotide long non-coding RNA is filed under the name Trifolium pratense (red clover). RNAcentral's name for it is "long non-coding RNA (TPRA_LNC011486)". Lineage: Eukaryota; Viridiplantae; Streptophyta; Magnoliopsida; Fabales; Fabaceae. The record is from RNAcentral.